GUCACUUAAGAGUCAGAAGGUGUCCAAAUAAUGCAUAUCCCUUACUAAAAUGCUAUGCUGUUUGUCAGUGUUUGUUUACUUGUUGUCUAUUGUGAUGUCAUCCUAUGGAAUCUGAAGAGAAACAUCUGAGAUGCUUGAACUCAAUUAAGGCUCCAGAGAAUUGCAUCAUGUACAGUCUAUUUCUAUUUUUGUGCAUGAGACAGACAUGAACUAAUUCAUCAGCCUUGCUUGUGCUUUCUUGUACAAAUGUGUUUUAUUGUAAUAGUCCCUAUAAACACUUUUGUUAUCCCCUCUGGUGACACCACAAUACAAAAAGUCGCUCCGAACCCCGACCGGCACAUUUAGCAUCUGUGCUAACACUAAGUGAAAGAGUAGAUUCAACUGUUCCAGGCCCAGGGGAUGACCAUUUUGUUUCUUCCCACAGAUCUUAGUGUCCUGGUGGACAGUGUUGUGUGAUGGAGGACUCUGACCUGACGCCGACACUCCUGACCUCAAAGUGUGCAGUCUGAGGGCAGUCUGUGAAACCCCAGUGCAUGUUUGCAUUCCUGAAACGGUAACUGUCUUACGUCUUUCAAGCCAAUUUACUCAUUCUUUUUUUUCUUGCCAUCUCAUUGUGGUCACAAUGUUGGACAUGUAGGUCUCGAUCUUAGUUUAGUAUGUCUGUUCCUUGCUUUCCCUUUCAUUCUUCGUCAUAUUUCUGUUGGAGCUUUGCCCCACCCUGUUCCUUCAGAAAACCUUGUUGAUUUAGCUUGGAGAAUGAUGAUGGAUAAACUUAUCCAAACCUCAGAAGGGUGUGUGUAACACUCAGGAAGCCAAGAGCACUCGUUUACGCACACACACACACAAGCACCUUCAUCUCCAGCGGCCUAGACAUCAUUCACAAAUAAUAACGACAUGGCAAUGUGUCAUUUCUUGACAAGCAGAUGUUGCUUUGAGAAGGCAUGUGUUCUCUUGUCUGCAGGUCUGUAGCAGACGGUGAAGGCUGGAUGAAGAAUGGGAAUGUUGCUUUAAGGUUUGUGGGUUCGGAGGUUAUCGCACAAGCUGCCUACACAGGCUCUCCAACAGUCCAUAUUGAGGAUGAAUCCAUGCAGGACUAGAGCCAAGGUACAAUCUUCUUUCUGGCCCUGUACUACAUACUUCCUGCAUGGAGCUCACAGUGACCAAAAUAAGACCCAACAACAAUUGUUGGCCCCAGUGGUGCCUGAGUCCAGAUGAGGGUUUGAUUUGCUACGCAUGGUCGGGUUCUGGACACGUGCAUUCGGGGAAGGUCUCGCA
This is a long non-coding RNA of Cyprinus carpio (common carp), 1275 nucleotides long. The record is from Ensembl. Lineage: Eukaryota; Metazoa; Chordata; Actinopteri; Cypriniformes; Cyprinidae.